Molecule: ribosomal RNA, 406 nt
Filed under: uncultured bacterium
Lineage: Bacteria
Description: partial 16S ribosomal RNA
Rfam family: Bacterial small subunit ribosomal RNA
Source: RNAcentral
AUUGAACGCUGGCGGCAGGCCUAACACAUGCAAGUCGAACGAGUGGCGGACGGGUGAGUAAUGUCUGGGAAACUGCCUGAUGGAGGGGGAUAACUACUGGAAACGGUAGCUAAUACCGCAUACCAUCAGAUGUGCCCAGAUGGGAUUAGCUUGUUGGUGGGGUAACGGCUCACCAAGGCGACGAUCCCUAGCUGGUCUGAGAGGAUGACCAGCAACACUGAAACUGAGACGCGGGCCAGCUUCCAACGGAGGGCAACAGGGGGGAAUAUUGCACAAUGGGCGCAGGCCUGAUGCAGCCAUGCCGCGUGUAGGAAGAAGGCCGUCGGGUUGAAAAGUACUUUCAGCGGGGAGGCGUUACCCGCAGAAGAUGCACCGGCUAACUCCGUGCCAGCAGCCGCGGUAAUAC